AUUGAACGCUGGCGGCAGGCCUAACACAUGCAAGUCGAGCGGAUGAAGGGAGCUUGCUCCUGGAUUCAGCGGCGGACGGGUGAGUAAUGCCUAGGAAUCUGCCUGGUAGUGGGGGAUAACGUCCGGAAACGGGCGCUAAUACCGCAUACGUCCUGAGGGAGAAAGUGGGGGAUCUUCGGACCUCACGCUAUCAGAUGAGCCUAGGUCGGAUUAGCUAGUUGGUGGGUUAAAGGCCUACCAAGGCGACGAUCCGUAACUGGUCUGAGAGGAUGAGCAGUCACAGUGGAACUGAGGCAAGGACCAGACGCCUCCGGGAGGCAGCAGUGGGGAAUAUUAGGAAAGGGGCGGAUGUCUGAUCCAGCUCUACCGGGUGAGUGAAGAAGGUCUUCGGAUUGUAAAGCCCUUUUAUUGGGAAAGAAAAGCAGCCGAUUGAUCCCCGGCUGGUAUGACGGUACCCAAUGAGUAAGCCCCGGCUAACGUCGUG
RNAcentral lists this ribosomal RNA (484 nucleotides) under uncultured bacterium. RNAcentral's name for it is "partial 16S ribosomal RNA". It matches the Rfam family "Bacterial small subunit ribosomal RNA", at positions 30 to 507 of the family's 1533-position model. The record is from RNAcentral.